GACCUAAUGUUGUAGGCACUGAGAAUUGCCAUGCCCUACCUGUUAAACAGCUUUCCUUAUAUUGACCAGAUUUGAUGGUGCCAUUUCCUGGCCAAUUAGUAAACCCAAGAGUUACUGAAGGAAUAUCUGAGAAGCAGUUGCAGUCAGAAGAACAUUUGUGACAUCACAGAAGAAGCUAGGACUCUCCAGGAUAUGAGAGAUAUUUAAGGGAGGGCCUAAUGAUGCUGUUACUGAGAACUGCCAUGGCCUACCUGCUGAACAGCUUUCCUUACACUGACAUGAUUUGAGGGUGCCCAUUCCUCCAAAGCAAGGACAAGAUGAGUAUGGCAUUAAGUUCUCUAGUCCUAUUGGAUAUCAGUACUACACUAUCUACCUUCCUCUGUUCCCAUUGCUAGACUUGAGGGUCAGAUGUUUUAUCAUGAUUCUGUGAAGGCCAAAAAUAAGAUUUCGGAGAAUGGGCAGAAAGAAGAAUGGCUUGAGGACAAGUGAAACCUCAACUUCAAUAGGAAGAUUAUAUCACUGCGUCUGCCUAUGAAGACUUUGAUUACCUAUGAAGACCCAAGGAACUGUUUUCUCUCCAGCGAGCUGUUGAAUCAUCUGCAGAUACAUCUUUUUUAGGCAUGAAUCCUUCUCACUGGAGACCAGAGAAGAGACCUGCAGUUCCAUGGUUAAUACAUGUCAUUGCAAGACAUCAAAGCAAAAUGUAAAUGUGUGGAUGGAAUAAAUAAUUUAGGACAGUGUUGUGCAAGCAACUUAUUUCAUAGACAGUCUUUGAAGGAGAGCCCUGAAAUUUUGCAUUUCACAUUAGAGUUUUCUGGGACUCUGACUAGAAUCAACUCACAACUGCUUGAGAUUUUCUUGGCAAAUAACCAGUUUGUGAAUAGAGCUGAAUUCAUCAUAUGCUUUGCUAUCUACGUUAAUACUGCUACAGUGAGGAACAACUAUGCUAAAACUCUUCAUCUGAUUUUUCAAACAGCAUCCUUAUAUCAUUGUGGACUUCUGUGCUUAUGGGAGUAAAAGUUGAGAACACCAUUUGAGAGCUCUAAAUGCUGAAGUGGGAAAGGCCUGUAUGUAGAUUUUAUCAACUUCACAAUAUCCAUUGUUUUAAUGAUCAUUAGGAAGUAGAGUUCUGCAAAAUAAUUUCAGCAGAACAGAAUGGUAGAAAAACAGUUAUUGAUUUGCUGGAGAGUUAGAUCAACUGGAUUGCUAAUAUGGGCUUAGAGGCAGAGACACGUCAGCACAUGAAGUAUGGAUAAUCAAUUCUGUGUGAUCUGCAAACAGCAUCAUAUAAGCAUUGAGAAAUAGAAUAAAAGCCAAUAUUUUGAAAAUCCACGUCACAAGAAAAUACUGUCCCCCUCCAUGUCACACAUCAAUUCUCAGGUGUGCUGGCCUUCGGCAUGCAUGGAUGACAGCUGUCAGCAUGGGAUUUACUGCCAGCCUUUCCAUAACAGCAGAGCUCCAGUCUGCUUCAGCAAUGUCUUCAGCUCCCCAUUCUGUUGCAGGAAGAUUAUAUCACUGCGUCUGCCUAUGAAGACUUUGAUUACCUAUGAAGACCCAAGGAACUGUUCUCUCUCCAGCGAGCUGUUUCAACAGGCCUGUGUACCAGAUAUCAGCUGCAUGACCAGAGUUUGCAAUUUACCUAACUGCUGAAUUCAAAGCUACAAAGAUUCAUUUUUUAUGAGAAGGCCUUUAUCUUCUAGAAUGUAGAAUGAUGUUUUCUGUGGGUUUCCUUGGCUCCCUCCAUUCUCUCCAAUUCAUAUCAGUGAAGAAACUGCACAAAGAAUGUAAAACACACUUGUUGGGCCACAGGAUAAAGAAAAUCCACAAAUCUUUCCUUGCAUGGAUUUAGAACAUAGUAGACAGGGUAUACAUUCAGCUUAGUGAAUGAAAUGCUCCCCUUGUAUACCUAAUGGGCGAACGUUUACCCACCUAGAUUGACUUGUUAGCCAUGCUGGCUUACCCUGCUUACCUGAUUCCCAGGAUGUGAAGAGGAGAUUUUUUUCUCACCAAGAAAUAAAGUGCUGAACCCACAUCUUA
Non-coding RNA from Rattus norvegicus (Norway rat), 2037 nucleotides. NCBI's taxonomy places the organism in Eukaryota, Metazoa, Chordata, Mammalia, Rodentia, Muridae. The record is from RefSeq and is a predicted model, not a curated record.